GGGGUUGUGACUCAGUGGUAGAGUACUCGCCUUGUACGUGCGAGGUCCUGGGUUCAAUCCUCAGCACCACA
RNAcentral lists this transfer RNA (71 nucleotides) under Marmota monax (woodchuck). RNAcentral's name for it is "tRNA.Thr". It matches the Rfam family "tRNA". Rfam says of the family: Transfer RNA (tRNA) molecules are approximately 80 nucleotides in length. Their secondary structure includes four short double-helical elements and three loops (D, anti-codon, and T loops). Lineage: Eukaryota; Metazoa; Chordata; Mammalia; Rodentia; Sciuridae. The record is from RNAcentral.